AGUGAACGCUGGCGGUAGGCCUAACACAUGCAAGUCGAACGGCAGCACAGUAAGAGCUUGCUCUUACGGGUGGCGAGUGGCGGACGAGUGAGGAAUACAUCGGAAUCUACUUUUUCGUGGGGGAUAACGUAGGGAAACUUACGCUAAUACCGCAUACGACCUACGGGUGAAAGCAGGGGAUCUUCGGACCUUGCGCGAUUGAAUGAGCCGAUGUCGGAUUAGCUAGUUGGCGGGGUAAAGGCCCACCAAGGCGACGAUCCGUAGCUGGUCUGAGAGGAUGAUCAGCCACACUGGAACUGAGACACGGUCCAGACUCCUACGGGAGGCAGCAGUGGGGAAUAUUGGACAAUGGGGGCAAGCCUGAUCCAGCCAUACCGCGUGGAUGAAGAAGGCCUUCGGGUUGUAAAGCCCUUUUGUUGGGAAAGAAAAGCAGCAGGUUAAUACCCCGCUGUUCUGACGGUACCCAAAGAAUAAGCACCGGCUAACUUCGUG
Molecule: ribosomal RNA, 492 nt
Filed under: uncultured bacterium
Lineage: Bacteria
Description: partial 16S ribosomal RNA
Rfam family: Bacterial small subunit ribosomal RNA
Source: RNAcentral